UACCAUGCAGUCGACGAUGAACCACUUCGGUGGGGAUUAGUGGCGAACGGGUGAGUAACACGUGGGCAAUCUGCCCUGCACUCUGGGACAAGCCCUGGAAACGGGGUCUAAUACCGGAUACUGAUCCUCGCAGGCAUCUGCGAGGUUCGAAAGCUCCGGCGGUGCAGGAUGAGCCCGCGGCCUAUCAGCUAGUUGGUGAGGUAACGGCUCACCAAGGCGACGACGGGUAGCCGGCCUGAGAGGGCGACCGGCCACACUGGGACUGAGACACGGCCCAGACUCCUACGGGAGGCAGCAGUGGGGAAUAUUGCACAAUGGGCGAAAGCCUGAUGCAGCGACGCCGCGUGAGGGAUGACGGCCUUCGGGUUGUAAACCUCUUUCAGCAGGGAAGAAGCGAAAGUGACGGUACCUGCAGAAGAAGCGCCGGCUAACUACGUGCCAGCAGCCGCGGUAAUACGUAGGGCGCAAGCGUUGUCCGGAAUUAUUGGGCGUAAAGAGCUCGUAGGCGGCUUGUCACGUCGGUUGUGAAAGCCCGGGGCUUAACCCCGGGUCUGCAGUCGAUACGGGCAGGCUAGAGUUCGGUAGGGGAGAUCGGAAUUCCUGGUGUAGCGGUGAAAUGCGCAGAUAUCAGGAGGAACACCGGUGGCGAAGGCGGAUCUCUGGGCCGAUACUGACGCUGAGGAGCGAAAGCGUGGGGAGCGAACAGGAUUAGAUACCCUGGUAGUCCACGCCGUAAACGGUGGGCACUAGGUGUGGGCAACAUUCCACGUUGUCCGUGCCGCAGCUAACGCAUUAAG
Molecule: ribosomal RNA, 797 nt
Filed under: Streptomyces enissocaesilis
Lineage: Bacteria; Bacillati; Actinomycetota; Actinomycetes; Kitasatosporales; Streptomycetaceae
Description: bacterial SSU rRNA
Rfam family: Bacterial small subunit ribosomal RNA
Source: RNAcentral